RNAcentral lists this ribosomal RNA (379 nucleotides) under uncultured eukaryote. Its description in RNAcentral is "partial 18S ribosomal RNA". It matches the Rfam family "Eukaryotic small subunit ribosomal RNA", at positions 592 to 976 of the family's 1831-position model. The record is from RNAcentral.
CAAUAGCGUAUAUUUAAGUUGUUGCAGUUAAAAAGCUCGUAGUUGGAUUUCGGAUGGGACUUGCCGGUCCGUCGUUUCGAUGUGCACUGGCCAGUCCUAUCUUGUUGUCGGGGACUAGCUCCUGGGCUUCACUGUCCGGGACUAGGAGCUGACGAGGUUACUUUGAGUAAAUUAGAGUGCUCAAAGCAAGCCUACGCUCUGAAUACAUUAGCAUGGAAUAACACGAUAGGACUCUGGCUUAUCUUGUUGGUCUGUGAGACCAGAGUAAUGAUUAAGAGGGACAGUCGGGGGCAUUCGUAUUUCAUUGUCAGAGGUGAAAUUCUUGGAUUUAUGAAAGACGAACUUCUGCGAAAGCAUUUGUCAAGGAUGUUUUCAUUAA